AUAUGGGUUAUCAGUCAUUUGCUGUGAAUCCUGUCUCCAUCUGGUGAUAAGAGAUUAAUUGUCUUCCUUGUUUAAAACAAGCUGGCGAAGGCUGGAGAACAGAUAAUUCGAUUUUUUGUCAGUACCUGACCUGUGUAAGAUGAGGUCUGCUGUCUAUCUACUGGUGAUCAUCCAGGCUGCGUCGGGUACAGCUGCACAAGGACCAGGAUCAAGUUGUCACUACAAGAAUGGAUGCAGUCCUUCUUCUCCCGACGUGUGUUCAGUGCCUCCUCCAGCUUGUCACACAGACUGGUCUGGAACGUUUUGUCAGAUACAUAACAUCGCAAAUGAUAACAUCGCACAUGGUAAACCUGCCAGUCAGAGCAGCACAUGGACAGACAAUACCGGUACAUAUAAUGCCAGUAGAGCUGUUGACGGGAAUGUCAGCACAGACUGGAACAGUGGUAGUUGUUCACAUACAGACGAACAGGGUGGUGGGAAUGCCAACUGGCAUAUUUUUCUUGGUGGGACGUACCUAAUCAGCCGGAUCACAAUCUAUCUCCGUAGUAACGCCAUUGACAAAUAUCAAGCAAUGGAAGUAUUGGUCAACAACAGGACAUGUCGAAAGCUACCUGUGACAGACAUCAGAGAUUCUCUAGCUCAUCUGAUAAGUAACCCUGUGACACUCAGCUGUAUACAACCUAUAGAGGGCGACACUGUAACCAUUGAAAUGGCGGGGCCUUGGUUGGCACUCUGUGAGGUGCAGGUGUUUGGCGAGAAGAAAGUGUCAUGCCACUGCUCUAAUGGCUGCUCAGAUUUCCCCAACACUCCAUGUUCAGCCCCUUCAACGGGCCCAGUUUGCAUACCACCAUGGUUCGGAAGCUUUUGCCAGAUGGAAAACAUUGCCUUUCAAAGGACAGCAACACAGAGUUGCAGUUAUAGUGGAGGCGGCAUCCCCUACUGUGCUGCGUAUGCUGUAGAUGGGAACACUGACACAGACUUCAGUCACAGGAGUUGUUCUAACACAAACAACGCAGGUGCCAGCUGGCAGGUUCUCCUUGAUGAUCAUCAGAUGUUCAACAUCAGCAGCAUCAGGAUCUACCUGCGAAGCGACCUUUGGGACCGCAACGAUGGCCUGCAGGUGCUUGUGAACGGCGACCCGUGUGUCCCUGUGAGUGGAACACCUGACUGGUUACAUGGACCUGUCACAAACCCUGUUGACGUCACAUGUACCCACGUAAUGAAGGGGAACAAUGUUACCAUCACCAGAAGCGGGACAUUUCUGGCAUUGUGCGAGGUUCAAGUUUUUAUUUGCGGUGAUGGAUGGUUUGGGGAGAACUGUGAGAGGCAGUGUCAGUGUCUAAAUACAUCUGAAGUAUGUGACAAGGAGACCGGAUAUUGCAGAAGUGGGUGUGCUGCUGGGAAACAAGGACAAGGGUGUCAGAACCCAGUUUGUAACGAUAGAUUCUUUGGCUCUAACUGUAGCCAGCAGUGCCAGUGUCUAGAUCUAUCUGAAGUAUGUGACAAGGAGACUGGCUACUGUAGGAGUGGAUGUGCUGCUGGGAAACAAGGACCAGGGUGUCAGCAACACUGUGACCAUGGUCACUACGGGGUCAGCUGUUCCUACACGUGUGGUCAGUGUACUGGGUCAUCUGAUUGUCAGAAGGUUAAUGGAACCUGCACACAGGGAUGUCAACAGGGUUACAGCCCCCCUUUGUGUAAAGUGUGCAGUGAUGGCUGGUUUGGCACCAACUGUAGUGAGCAGUGCAAGUGUCAGAAUGAAACAGAAGUAUGCGACAAGACCACAGGGAACUGUACAAGUGGCUGCCGUGCUGGGAAGACAGGGGUUGGAUGCCAGGAUGAUUGUGACCAGGGUCAGUAUGGGAUCAACUGUUCCUCCACGUGUGGUCAGUGUAGCGGGUCGCCCGACUGUGAUAAGGAUGAUGGAAAUUGCACACAGGGAUGCCAAACAGGUUACCUCCUUCCUUUGUGUAAAGACUGUGUAGAAGGACGCUACGGUGUUAAUUGUUCACAACAAUGUGGCUCGUGUAAAGAUGGCUCACCGUGCAAUACAACUUCUGGUGUCUGUGAGCUGGGAUGUGCAGAUAACUUUGAAGAACCACAUUGUGAAUUUUGCAAUGAUUGGUGGUUUGGCAACAACUGUAGUGAACAGUGCAAGUGUCAGAAUGAAACAGAAGUAUGCGACAAGACCACCGGGAACUGUACAAGUGGCUGCCGUGCUGGGAAGACAGGGGUUGGAUGCCAGGAUGAUUGUGUCCAGGGUCAGUAUGGGAUCAACUGUUCCUCCACGUGUGGUCAGUGUAGCGGGUCGUCCGACUGUAAGAAGGAUGAUGGACACUGCACACAGGGAUGCCAAACAGGUUACCCGCCCCCUUUGUGUAAAGACUGUGUAGAAGGACGCUACGGUGUUAACUGUUCACAACAAUGUGGCUCGUGUAAAGAUGACUCACCGUGCAAUACAACUACUGGUGUCUGUGUGCUGGGAUGUGCAGAUAACUUUGAAGAACCAUAUUGUGAAUUGUGCAGCGAUAGGUGGUUUGGGACUAACUGUAGUGAGCAGUGCAGGUGUCAAAAUACAACAGAAGUAUGCAACAAGACCACAGGGAACUGUACAAGUGGCUGCCGUGCUGGGAAGACAGGGGUUCGAUGCCAGGAUGAUUGUGGCCAGGGUCAGUAUGGGAUCAACUGUUCCUCCACGUGUGGUCUGUGUAGCGGGUCGUCCGACUGUAAUAAGGAUGAUGGACACUGCACACUGGGAUGUCAACAGGGUUACAGUUCCCCUUUGUGUAAAGAAUGCGUACAAGGGAGUUAUGGAACCAACUGCACCUCCCUCUGUGGUCACUGCAAGGAUGGACAAACGUGUAACAGCAUGACCGGCCAUUGUCAAAACGGAUGUCAAGUAGGAUAUGAAAAACCAUUCUGCUCUCAGGGAUGUUUCAACAAGACCUACGGUCAGGAUUGCAGUUCGUCCUGUGGUAGAUGUCUAAACUGGACAUGCAGUAACACAGACGGGACUUGUGUACAUGGAUGUGAGCCGGGAUUUGAGGGGGAUCUGUGCGUGACAGAAUCACAAACGGGCAACAAGGAAGGCGGCGCUCAGUCGUUGACUGGACUUAUUGUCGGUGUCGUUGUAGGGGUGCUUUCAGCUGCCGUCGUUGUCGCUGUGCUGGUUUAUAUACGACGAAGACGGAGUUUACAGAAAUCCCACACGGAAGACCAACCAGAGGAAGAUACAACUGAGAGUUCCUUCAGUGCCGUGUCCAGCGACAGGACAGCAUCCCCAUCCUCCAAAUCAGCGAAGCCGGUUAAGCCAUCAAAGAAACCAAGAUCCCCUGCAAACCACGUGUACGAGAACUCGGACACAUUAUAUAACGUCUCCCCAACCCCCGUACCCCUGGAGAGACUCAGACAGUACAUCGGACAAAGAGUGGGAGGUGCGGGAUUCGAACAAGAGUACAAGCUGCUACGUCAUGGACUGGCUAAAGAGCACAAGGAGGGUCUGAAACCUGAAAAUAAGAAGAGAAACAGAUUCCUGGCUCUGUUUCCAUAUGAUGAGAGCCGCGUUGUCCUGGCCCCUGAUGGAGACGCUACUUGCGACUACAUCCACGCCAGCUAUGUCCAGGGCUUCCACGAAGAAAAGGUUUUCAUAGCUGCUCAAGGUCCAAAUAGUGUAACCGUGAAUGACUUCUGGAGAAUGAUAUGGCAAGAAAACGUGUCACAGAUCGUCAUGCUGACCAGAGUAAUGGAAGUGAACAGGAAAAAGUGUGAGCAGUACUGGCCAGAUGGCACGAGGGAUAAGAAGUGUGGAAACAUUGUUAUCAAGCCACUCCUAUCAACUGUCAGGGCGGAUUUCACCAUCAGGAAAUUCCUGGUUCAGCACUCCAAGACGCCCUCAGACAAGAGGACAGUGACCCAGCUCCACUUCACGUCUUGGCCUGACCAUGAUGUUCCAUCAGCACCGGCUCUGGUUGGCUUCUGGAAGCAGUACAGGAGUCUGACGUCAUCAGAGGAGGAUAUUACUGGACCUGUGGUAAUCCACUGCAGUGCUGGCGUUGGCCGGACGGGAACGUUCAUUGCUCUGGACAACCUCUUUGAUGAAGCCGAGUCUCUGAACAAAGUGAACGUGUUCGCAUGUGUGUCCAAGUUGAGGGAAGCCAGGGUGAACAUGGUGCAGACUGUGGAACAGUACCGUUUUGUGCAUGAGUCUGUCAUGGAAGCCAUCGACAGUCGGGGAACUUUCUUCACCUUGUCCGACUUCGAGGGAAAGUUUGGUACCGGUCUGAAAUACUCCAGACAACAGGACAUAGAGAUGAACAGACAGUUUCAGUCUCUUGAAUCCGUGAAGAUGGAGAUCCCAGAGAAGCUGGUAUCUGAUGCUUAUCUUCCAGCAAAUGUUGGCAAAAACAGAAACAAGAAUAUUGUCCCCGCCAACAGAGGUCGGCCUUUUCUCUCAACUCCUGUCGCAGACCACAACGAUUACAUCAACGCCGUUAUACUUCCAUCGGCAACACAACCCUUGGGUUUGAUAGCAACCCAGACCCCGCUAAAAGAUACUGUUGUAGACUUCUGGAGGUUGGUCUUUGACCAUGACUGUUUCACCAUCGUCUGUCUGGAAGAUGAGGGGGAGAAUCAGGUAGGUAAUACAAGAACUACAACAACACACAUAUACAUGUGUUAGGCUCAUGCCAUAUAUCCAAGAAAGAAUGAGUCGUUGAACAUAGGACCGUUCCGCCUCACCACACUGAAGGAAGACACAUCACGAGACAGUUUCACUGAGAUGGAGCUUAACCUGGCUCUCAGAGAACAGGAUAACACACUCCACCAG
RNAcentral lists this unclassified non-coding RNA (4825 nucleotides) under Haliotis rubra (blacklip abalone). RNAcentral describes it as "uncharacterized LOC124292329, transcript variant X19". The record is from RNAcentral. Lineage: Eukaryota; Metazoa; Mollusca; Gastropoda; Lepetellida; Haliotidae.